CUGGCCUCAAAUCAGGUGGGACUACCCGCUGAACUUAAGCAUAUCAAUAAGCGGAGGAAAAGAAACUAACAAGGAUUCCCCUAGUAACGGCGAGUGAAGCGGGAUGAGCUCAAAUUUAAAAUCUGGCAGCCUAAGGUUGUCCGAGUUGUAGUCUAGAGAAGCGUUUUCCGCGUAGGCCUGUGUACAAGUCCCUUGGAAUAGGGCGUCAUAGAGGGUGAGAAUCCCGUCCUUGACACAGAUCAUCUAUGCUUUGCGAUGCGCUCUCGAAGAGUCGAGUUGUUUGGGAAUGCAGCUCAAAAUGGGUGGUAAAUUCCAUCUAAAGCUAAAUACUGGCGAGAGACCGAUAGCGAACAAGUACCGUGAGGGAAAGAUGAAAAGCACUUUGGAAAGAGAGUUAAACAGUACGUGAAAUUGUUGAAAGGGAAACGAUUGAAGUCAGUCAUGUGGUUCGAGAUUCAGCCGGUUCUGCCGGUGUAUUUCUCGAGCUACAGGCCAGCAUCAGUUUCGACCGGUGGAAAAAGUUGGAGGGAACGUGGCAUCCUCGGAUGUGUUAUAGCCCUCUUUCACAUGCAUCGGACGGGACUGAGGAACGCAGCGUGCCUUUAUGGUCGGUCUUCGGACACGAACGCGCUUAGGAUGCUGGCAUAAUGGCUUUAAACGACCCGUCUUGAAACACC
This 677-nucleotide ribosomal RNA is filed under the name Udeniomyces kanasensis. RNAcentral's name for it is "eukaryotic LSU rRNA". It matches the Rfam family "Eukaryotic large subunit ribosomal RNA", at positions 1 to 663 of the family's 3401-position model. The record is from RNAcentral. Lineage: Eukaryota; Fungi; Basidiomycota; Tremellomycetes; Cystofilobasidiales; Mrakiaceae.